AUGCAGAAGGCUCAAACUAGGGAAACUAGCGCUUGCAGUUUACCAAAGAGUUCCUCCUUGAAUAUGCUCUUACUCCUCCUCCUCCAGCUCCUCGCCAUCACCACCCUCCCUUGCUCUGCCAGCAACGCCACCCAACUAGUCUAUGACACGGAGGGCAACGUGCUAAGUAGCAAGCAAAAUUACUACAUCCUCCCUGCUAAACGUGCGAGCGGCGGGGGCCUUAGAGCUUUGCCUACUGGCCUGCGGUGUCUGCACUUCGUGUUCCAGGAGCGCAGCGAGGCUGUCCUCGGCACCGCCCUGUGGUUCACGCCACUACCAGAACACGCUUCAGCCAGCGAGCCGAUUCGCCUGUCGAGCGACAUCUGUAUCGAGUUCCAUGAUUUCGAUAGUUUUUGCUCUAAAAGGCUAGAUUGGCACCUUACCGGACAAGUGCCGGAGUCGUCAUCAGGUGAGCCUAAACACGUGGCCGCCGGCAGUGAAGAGGGCCUAAGAUCGUUUGCGGUGUUCCGGGUUGAGAAGCAUGGCACAGGUCUCUUGGGAUAUAAGAUAGUUUCAUGUGUUGACAAGGGGCCAUGCAAAGAUGUAGGUUUGCACGCUACUAAGGACAAGACGUGGCUGACCUUGAGCAAUAAGCCUUUUAUCGUUGUCUUUAGGAAAGAGAGGUUAUAG
Molecule: ribosomal RNA, 669 nt
Filed under: Triticum aestivum (bread wheat)
Lineage: Eukaryota; Viridiplantae; Streptophyta; Magnoliopsida; Poales; Poaceae
Description: partial small subunit ribosomal RNA
Source: RNAcentral